This 69-nucleotide transfer RNA is filed under the name Protohermes costalis. RNAcentral's name for it is "tRNA-Met". It matches the Rfam family "tRNA". From Rfam's summary of the family: Transfer RNA (tRNA) molecules are approximately 80 nucleotides in length. Lineage: Eukaryota; Metazoa; Arthropoda; Insecta; Megaloptera; Corydalidae. The record is from RNAcentral. RNAcentral also lists the same sequence under 2 other names.
AAAAAGAUAAGCUAAGUAAGCUAAUGGGUUCAUACCCCGUAUAUAAAGGUUUAAAUCCUUUUCUUUUUA